RNAcentral lists this ribosomal RNA (856 nucleotides) under uncultured bacterium. RNAcentral's name for it is "bacterial SSU rRNA". It matches the Rfam family "Bacterial small subunit ribosomal RNA", at positions 56 to 907 of the family's 1533-position model. The record is from RNAcentral.
UGCAGUCGAACGCGAAAGUUUCUUCGGAAACGAGUAGAGUGGCGCACGGGUGAGUAACGCGUGGAUUAUCUACCUGCUGGUACGGGACAACAGUUGGAAACGACUGCUAAUACCGUAUACGCUGGAAACGGGAAAGGGGGCCUCUUCUUGAAAGCUCUCGCCAGUAGAUGAGUCCGCGUCUCAUUAGCUAGACGGUGGGGUAACGGCCUACCGUGGCAACGAUGAGUAGCAGGCCUGAGAGGGUGGCCUGCCACACUGGGACUGGAACACGGCCCAGACUCCUACGGGAGGCAGCAGUGGGGAAUAUUGCGCAAUGGACGAAAGUCUGACGCAGCGACGCCGCGUGGAGGAUGAAGGUUUUCGGAUCGUAAACUCCUGUCAAGAGGGAAGAAACCUGUUAUGAAUAAUACUUAUAGCAAUUGACGGUACCUCUAGAGGAAGCACCGGCUAAUUCAGUGCCAGCAGCCGCGGUAAUACUGAAGGUGCAAGCGUUAAUCGGAAUCACUGGGCGUAAAGCGCUCGUAGGUGGCUUUGUAAGUCAGGUGUGAAAGCCCACGGCUCAACCGUGGAAUUGCACUUGAUACUGCAUCGCUAGAGUAUAGGAGAGGGAAGUGGAAUUUCUGGUGUAGGAGUGAAAUCCGUAGAGAUCAGAAGGAACACCCGUGGCGAAGGCGACUUCCUGGACUAUUACUGACACUGAGGAGCGAAAGCGUGGGGAGCAAACAGGAUUAGAUACCCUGGUAGUCCACGCCGUAAACGAUGGGUACUAGGUGUCGGAGGCUUGACCUUCGGUGCCGUAGUUAACGCGUUAAGUACCCCGCCUGGGGAGUACGGUCGCAAGGCUGAAACUCAAAGA